AUACUAGCCGUUUAUUGUCUGCACCGGCCACCGCGCCAUCUCCUCCCGUGUCCAGACACUUAUUUCGUUUCGUGUUUACUGUUUUCUGUUCCAUCACAACGUCGAGUCGUGUCGUAUCAUGAUCGUGUCGUGCCCGUGUCGUGGACGUCGCAGUCGGGUGCGACCCCGAAGGACAAUUUAAUAAAGAAAGCUGAGCCGUUACCGCGCGCCGCACCGCACACUGCCCGCCCUAAUAAAGUUUGUAAAAAUAUCUGCAGACACAAUGUUAAGGCUCGACCACAUUAAAUAAUUUAAUUGUUA
This is a long non-coding RNA of Melitaea cinxia (Glanville fritillary), 300 nucleotides long. RefSeq lists it as uncharacterized. The record is from RefSeq and is a predicted model, not a curated record. NCBI's taxonomy places the organism in Eukaryota, Metazoa, Arthropoda, Insecta, Lepidoptera, Nymphalidae. The transcript is spliced from 2 exons.